UCAUUUGAACUUCAUGGAAUUUUUAACUUUCCCUCAACCUAUCCAGAGUCUUGGAGAUUAAUUGUGUGUGCAUAUGGUGUUUGACAGCAAUUAUUCUGAAAAUUGCAGUAGGUGUUAUUUCAAUAGAGCUUCUUUGCAUCUGCAGCCACCUGGGAGGAGCUGUAGGUAUCUUGAUAUCUUCCUCGAGUUCCUCAUGGAAGUUUGGCAUAAUAGUGCUAUCGGGGUCCGCAUAGAUGUUUCGCCUGCCUAAUCCAGGGGUUGUGCGUAAAUAGUGUUUGAUUAUUUAAAACCAUGUGUUGUGCGUAAAUAAUUUGUUGUUAAUUGGUGUAUUCACCAAGAUUUGGCUGUAUCUGCGUACUGUACAUCAGAAUUCUCACUAAUGGAAGCUUAAGUGCUUAACCAAUUUGUACCUGGACUGGGGCUUGAUAUGAUGAAUUAUGUAUGACCCCCAUCCUCUAUAUUUGCUGAAGUGGGUCUCAGCUAUAACCAACCUUAACCCACCGGGCUGACUCUGUGGGUCUACUCUAAAGUUGGCGACGCAGCUACUAGCCUCAGUUUUAAUGCGAAUUUGCCUAUUUGCCAUGGUUGGUUCUUCGCUGGGUAGGUAGGCCAGUUGAUUGGAAUUUUCCUCACGUGACAAAAGCAUGGAACGUUGGUUGAAACUUACCACCAAAACGUUCAAAAACUUUGUUUUCAUAUCACGUCAUUGGAGACCCCUUCGGCUUAACUGUACCUAAAUCCAUCCAUGUCCUUAUCUAUUCAUCAAUAAUGUUCAUACUGGCCGUGACUUGCAAUCUUUUUUAAUGUGAUUAACAAUUUUUUAAAUACUUUAAUAGUAAUCCCACAGAAAUGUAAAGUGAAUAAAAGAAGCAUCCGAACAGCUGCAGCAGCAAUCAGCGAUCGAGUUAGCGCCACAGCACACUUUUUUUCUAACUUCAUCUGGUUUUCCCGGCAAAACAAGCAACUGCUUUACUGCUGCGCCACCAGAUCCCAACACUAAAUAAGGCUCUAUAUAUACAAGCCCAUAAGUUCUUCUUCAUGGAUUCUACUGGAAAAAGGUCACUCACUCACUCACUUCUCUCUAAUUUUAAUUUCGUUCACGUUAAUAUAUUAAUAUCGGAACAUACCUUCAGCCUUCAGGGAUAUUCAAAUAUAACUUUGUAAGUUUGAUAUGGGUGUUUCCCGCAAUUGGGUCACGUUUUUGCGUGGAUUGUUUCUCCUCCUCCUUAUCUGUCGUAGCUCUGGAGCUGAAGUUAUUACAGUUGAUGUUCGAGCUGCUAAGAAUCUGCUUGAAUCUGGCUACGGCUAUCUUGAUGUGAGGUACGCAGUUUCAAUUCAACUACUGGCUUUCUAUUUCCUAAUUCUGAUACUUGUAAUUUCUUUUAUUUUUUAAUCUUUAUUUCGUAACUUUGGGCUUGUCUUAAAAUACUAGGACGGCAGAAGAAUUCGAGGAAGGUCAUGUGGAUGCAGCAAAAAUCUUCAACAUUCCUUACAUGUUCAACACUCCAGAAGGUAUAUAACGAUUAUUUUAUUUUAUUUUUUUUAAAAUUCAACUUCUAAUAACCAUGAGCCAUUUCCUUUUUAAUACUUCAGUUAUGAAAAAAUAAUUUGGUUUUUCCUUAUAGGUAGAGUAAAAAAUCCAGAUUUCUUGAAGAAGGUUAGAUCUCUUUGCAAGGAGGAGGAUCGUCUUGUAGUGGUAAUUAAUUGAUCAUGUUCAUAAAUCAGUUGUCGAAAAAUUGGUGUUUGACAGCAAUUAUUCUGAAAAUUGCAGUAGGUGUUAUUUCAAUAGAGCUUCUUUGCAUCUGCAGCCACCUGGGAGGAGCUGUAGGUAUCUUGAUAUCUUCCUCGAGUUCCUCAUGGAAGUUUGGCAUAAUAGUGCUAUCGGGGUCCGCAUAGAUGUUUCGCCUGCCUAAUCCAGGGGUUGUGCGUAAAUAGUGUUUGAUUAUUUAAAACCAUGUGUUGUGCGUAAAUAAUUUGUUGUUAAUUGGUGUAUUCACCAAGAUUUGGCUGUAUCUGCGUACUGUACAUCAGAAUUCUCACUAAUGGAAGCUUAAGUGCUUAACCAAUUUGUACCUGGACUGGGGCUUGAUAUGAUGAAUUAUGUAUGACCCCCAUCCUCUAUAUUUGCUGAAGUGGGUCUCAGCUAUAACCAACCUUAACCCACCGGGCUGACUCUGUGGGUCUACUCUAAAGUUGGCGACGCAGCUACUAGCCUCAGUUUUAAUGCGAAUUUGCCUAUUUGCCAUGGUUGGUUCUUCGCUGGGUAGGUAGGCCAGUUGAUUGGAAUUUUCCUCACGUGACAAAAGCAUGGAACGUUGGUUGAAACUUACCACCAAAACGUUCAAAAACUUUGUUUUCAUAUCACGUCAUUGGAGACCCCUUCGGCUUAACUGUACCUAAAUCCAUCCAUGUCCUUAUCUAUUCAUCAAUAAUGUUCAUACUGGCCGUGACUUGCAAUCUUUUUUAAUGUGAUUAACAAUUUUUUAAAUACUUUAAUAGUAAUCCCACAGAAAUGUAAAGUGAAUAAAAGAAGCAUCCGAACAGCUGCAGCAGCAAUCAGCGAUCGAGUUAGCGCCACAGCACACUUUUUUUCUAACUUCAUCUGGUUUUCCCGGCAAAACAAGCAACUGCUUUACUGCUGCGCCACCAGAUCCCAACACUAAAUAAGGCUCUAUAUAUACAAGCCCAUAAGUUCUUCUUCAUGGAUUCUACUGGAAAAAGGUCACUCACUCACUCACUUCUCUCUAAUUUUAAUUUCGUUCACGUUAAUAUAUUAAUAUCGGAACAUACCUUCAGCCUUCAGGGAUAUUCAAAUAUAACUUUGUAAGUUUGAUAUGGGUGUUUCCCGCAAUUGGGUCACGUUUUUGCGUGGAUUGUUUCUCCUCCUCCUUAUCUGUCGUAGCUCUGGAGCUGAAGUUAUUACAGUUGAUGUUCGAGCUGCUAAGAAUCUGCUUGAAUCUGGCUACGGCUAUCUUGAUGUGAGG
Molecule: long non-coding RNA, 2984 nt
Filed under: Citrus sinensis (sweet orange)
Lineage: Eukaryota; Viridiplantae; Streptophyta; Magnoliopsida; Sapindales; Rutaceae
Description: long non-coding RNA (CSIN_LNC000466)
Source: RNAcentral